This 432-nucleotide ribosomal RNA is filed under the name uncultured bacterium. Its description in RNAcentral is "partial 16S ribosomal RNA". It matches the Rfam family "Bacterial small subunit ribosomal RNA", at positions 29 to 506 of the family's 1533-position model. The record is from RNAcentral.
AGCGAACGCUGGCGGCAGGCCUAACACAUGCAAGUCGAACGGAUCCUUCGGGAUUAGUGGCGGACGGGUGAGUAACACGUGGGAACGUGCCCUUUGGUUCGGAACAACUCAGGGAAACUUGAGCUAAUACCGGAUGUGCCCUUCGGGGGAAAGAUUUAUCGCCAUUGGAUCGGCCCGCGUCUGAUUAGCUAGUUGGUGAUGUAACGGCCCACCAAGGCGACGAUCAGUAGCUGGUCUGAGAGGAUGAUCAGCCACACUGGGACUGAGACACGGCCCAGACUCCUACGGGAGGAAGCAGUGGGGAAUCUUGCGCAGUGGGCGAAAGCCUGACGCAGCCAUGCCGCGUGAAUGAUGAAGGGCUUAGGAUUGUAAAAUUCUUUCAGCGGGGACGAUAAUGACGGUACCCGCAGAAGAAGCUCCGGCUAACUUCGU